This 768-nucleotide ribosomal RNA is filed under the name uncultured bacterium. Its description in RNAcentral is "bacterial SSU rRNA". It matches the Rfam family "Bacterial small subunit ribosomal RNA", at positions 734 to 1504 of the family's 1533-position model. The record is from RNAcentral.
UCGAUACUGACACUGAGGUGCGAAAGCGUGGGAGCAAACGGGAUUAGAUACCCCGGUAGUCCACGCCGUAAACGAUGUCUACUAGCCGUUGGAGGACUUGAUCCUUUAGUGGCGCAGCUAACGCGAUAAGUAGACCGCCUGGGGAGUACGGUCGCAAGAUUAAAACUCAAAUGAAUUGACGGGGGCCCGCACAAGCGGUGGAGCAUGUGGUUUAAUUCGAAGCAACGCGAAGAACCUUACCUACUCUUGACAUCCAGUGAACUUUUGAGAGAUCAAUUGGUGCCUUCGGGAACACUGAGACAGGUGCUGCAUGGCUGUCGUCAGCUCGUGUUGUGAAAUGUUGGGUUAAGUCCCGUAACGAGCGCAACCCUUGUCCUUAGUUACCAUCAUUAAGUUGGGGACUCUAAGGAGACUGCCGGUGACAAACCGGAGGAAGGCGGGGACGACGUCAAGUCAUCAUGGCCCUUACGAGUAGGGCUACACACGUGCUACAAUGGCAUGUACAAAGGGUUGCCAAGCCGCGAGGUGGAGCUAAUCCCAUAAAGCAUGUCGUAGUCCGGAUUGGAGUCUGCAACUCGACUCCAUGAAGUCGGAAUCGCUAGUAAUCGUGAAUCAGAAUGUCACGGUGAAUACGUUCCCGGGCCUUGUACACACCGCCCGUCACACCAUGGGAGUGGGUUGCUCCAGAAGUAGAUAGCUUAACCUUCGGGAGGGCGUUUACCACGGAGUGAUUCAUGACUGGGGUGAAGUCGUAACAAGGUAGCCGUA